GGAGUUAGCCGGUGCUUCUUCUGUGAGUGAUGUCCUUCCUGCCGGCUAUUAACCCGCAGGCCUUCUUCCUCACUGAAAGUGCUUUACAACCCGAAGGCCUUCUUCACACACGCGGCAUGGCUGGAUCAGGGUUGCCCCCAUUGUCCAAUAUUCCCCACUGCUGCCUCCCGUAGGAGUCUGGGCCGUGUCUCAGUCCCAGUGUGGCUGAUCAUCCUCUCAGACCAGCUACGGAUCGUCGCCUUGGUGAGCCGUUACCUCACCAACCAGCUAAUCCGACAUAGGCUCAUCCGAUAGCGCGAGGACCGAAGGUCCCCCGNUUUCCCCCGUAGGGCGUAUGCGGUAUUAGCCUGGGUUUCCCCCAGGUUAUCCCCCACUACCGGGCAGAUUCCUAUGCAUUACUCACCCGUCCGCCGCUCGCCACCAGGGAGCAAGCUCCCCGUGCUGCCGCUCGACUUGCAUGUGUUAGGCCUGCCGCCAGCGUUCAAUCUGAGCCAGGAUCAAACUCUGA
RNAcentral lists this ribosomal RNA (508 nucleotides) under uncultured bacterium. RNAcentral's name for it is "partial 16S ribosomal RNA". The record is from RNAcentral.